Molecule: long non-coding RNA, 535 nt
Filed under: Prunus persica (peach)
Lineage: Eukaryota; Viridiplantae; Streptophyta; Magnoliopsida; Rosales; Rosaceae
Description: long non-coding RNA (PPER_LNC000841)
Source: RNAcentral
UGGGGACUUAGUUCAAAUGGCACAACUCUUUUUUGACUACGCAUGGCGGCUGCAAAUGACCAACGCAAUAAAAAUUGAAAUUAAAAGCUCAUAAUGAUUUUUUUCACAAAGCGUUAUUCUAAUUACUUUACUGUAUGGGGAGGGACGGAUUGAAUUAGGAUGCAAAGGGGCAGUUGUGUUACUUUGGCCAACAGACUUAACUUAUAUCUGGACAAAUGUCUAUUCAUUAGCUUGAGUGAUAACGAUAUGAAAACUAUUUUGAUAGGGUUACUAUUCAAUUAAGUCAGGUUAGACAUACACUUCUCUGUCAAUACCCGUGUCUUUGUUAAAAAUGGAAAUUAAAAUAUGAUAAGGUAGAUGUCAUCAUAAAUAUACAAUAAUAAUCAUUGACAUGGAAGUUUUGGACAGGAAUAAAACACUUGUUCCCCUAAUUAAAUAUGUGUUCCCCUAAUUAAAUAUGUGUGUAGAAUCCUUAUAUUGCUCAGAAGCAACUGGAUCAAGUUAAGGGAAAGACAACAAACAUCACAUUUUCUUC